AGUUUGAUCCUGGCUCAGAACGAACGCUGGCGGCAUGCCUAACACAUGCAAGUCGAACGAAGUCUUCGGACUUAGUGGCGCACGGGUGCGUAACGCGUGGGAAUCUGCCCUUGGGUGCGGAAUAACUUCUCGAAAGGGAUGCUAAUACCGCAUAAUGUCGUAAGACCAAAGAUUUAUCGCCCAAGGAUGAGCCCGCGUAAGAUUAGCUAGUUGGUGGGGUAAAAGCCUACCAAGGCGACGAUCUUUAGCUGGUCUGAGAGGAUGAUCAGCCACACUGGGACUGAGACACGGCCCAGACUCCUACGGGAGGCAGCAGUGGGAAUAUUGGACAAUGGGCGCAAGCCUGAUCCAGCCAUGCCGCGUGAGUGAUGAAGGCCUUAGGGUUGUAAAGCUCUUUUGUCCGGGAAGAUAAUGACUGUACCGGAAGAAUAAGCCCCGGCUAACUUCGUG
This 450-nucleotide ribosomal RNA is filed under the name uncultured bacterium. RNAcentral describes it as "bacterial SSU rRNA". It matches the Rfam family "Bacterial small subunit ribosomal RNA", at positions 10 to 507 of the family's 1533-position model. The record is from RNAcentral.